AUCUCACUGGAGAUCCCUGUGUGCCUGAGGCUUUCUGAAGAUUCCUCUCGUUCAUCAGAAUGGUUCAAGAUGCUGGGCAAAAUAAAGUCUGAUAUAUUAUAAUUCAAUGAAAAUUCAAUGGUUUCGUGGCAGCUGCAUUUCAUGGUUCUCUGCAAAACCACCUGGAAAACAUCCGUCCUCUGAAAGUGAUAUUCUUAAGAGGGCCUUGCAGACUCAGAUUUGCAGGUUGCUGAAUGCUGCUAAAUUGAAAACGACCUUAUUUGAAAGUAAAUGGAUGCCGUCAAUCCUUUAAGAAUAUCAAAAGCUACAGUACAAACAGCUCACAAAAUGUAAUGGGUGCCUGGAGAACCAGCUGUAAAGCUGCAGUGCUAGUGUAAUCUGUUGAAUUCUAGUCAUAUAGAAGAUUUUGCACAUCACUUUCAAAAUGGUGUUGUGCUGAAUGCCUAUUUUAAAACUUUACUGAAUAUAUGAUUACUUGUGCUAAUUGAAAGAGACAAGACCUACAUUUAUUGGAAUUGUGGUUAAAUACUCCCAGUACCCAUUUUCCCCCUAUGAAGUUGCCAAGGAGAAAACCACAUAUGUUAAGUUUUAAUCUGCUUUUCCCAAAUGUGGAUACAUUUAAAAGAUGGCUGAUAAAGUAUCAUUAGGAUUUUCCAAUGAUGGUUUAAAAUAAUAUACCUUUUAAAGAGGGAUAAUAAAUUAUGAAUGUUCAUGAUAAAGUCACUCAUGAAGUCUCUCAGGGUUCUGUCCAUGGACCUAUGUUAUUCUGCAUAAAUCUAUACACUUCUGAAUUACUCACAAAAGGAAUAAAUAAUAUCCAUCAUGCUUUUUGGUGAAACAAGUAUCCUUUUGUAACAAAUGAAUUUUUGGAAGCAAAAAAAAGCAAACAAAGACCCCACCACCCUUCAUUGAAACCAUUUUCAUAUCCAUCUCAUUAUUUUAAGCUAAAUUACUCAAGGAAAAUUAAGAUGUAAACAUAUUUGAAAUCAAUGGAAAACUUAAGGUGUUCUGUGUUUCUUUUUUGUUGCAUUAAUCUGCUAUGUAUUUCCAUCCAUCAUUUCUAGUGAUGCUUAAUGUUGCAAUUCAUAUCAUUAAUCUAUUCAAAGUAUUACACACAUAGCAUGUAAUAAUUAUCUGCUACAUCCUGUAGUAUUGGUUUCACUAACUGCUGCAUGAAAGGACAGAUAUCUCUGCACUGAUCUUACGUCUUUCACUCCUCAGGUGAUGUAAAGGAGCCAGAUGCCAGCUGUAAUUAAUAAGCAGAGAUUUUCUGUUGAUUAAAAGCUCUCAGCUGGAAUAAAGCAUACGGAGUUGGCUUCUGCUUCACAUGCUUGUGCUACUCUGACAUCAGAAGAGGGGCAAAAUCUUAAUCUCUUAAUCCUGCUAGUGUGUAAUGUCCUAUGAAAGACACGUGUUGCUAGGUCACUAGGGUCAUGGUGACUUGCCCAUGGAAUCAUGGAGCUGCAGUUAUUUUCUUGUUUUUCAUUUGUUCCAUUGAUGAGAUGAAGAAUGUAGAGGAGAACAUAACAUGGAAAUAUUUGCACUGUAUUGUUUUUCUGAGUAAUGCUGGUACAACUGGGGAAAAAAGUAAACAAUAUAUGGGUUAUAUGAAACCUCAUUUUCUAAAGUAUUUCUUCUACAUCUACAAAUAUGUGAUGAUCUCCUAAGUUGCCCUUCUCUAUGGGUUUCUCAAGCCACUAGUGUGCAUAUGUUUUCUGUUAAACUGUUUCCCUCUUUCUGCAUUACAGUAGAAGUUAAAGAAAGCAAGCGUGAAUUGGAUGAGAAAAUAGAAUGAAAAUUAGAAUCUUUAUUGAAAAUGUAAAAAUAAAACAUUCUGGGGAAACUUUUAUGGCUGUUCAGAAAGAAAAAGCAUCAGGUUUUAAUUUAUCUUUACUUUUAUAUAAUCUUCUAUUCAUUUCAAAUCACAGAGAAAGGAGCGUUUCUUCAAAGAAGUAAUUGCUCUCAAAGUUGGAAUGUGUCAUUUGUUUGAAGUAUUGUUGAAGACUUUUAAAAUGGGUUUCUUAAUCUUAUGAUUGAUGGCCAAGUGGUAACUAAAAUUUUUGGAAAUUGCAGCGUAAGAAAGAAAUUUAAACCGUUUUC
Long non-coding RNA from Gallus gallus (chicken), 2100 nucleotides. Lineage: Eukaryota; Metazoa; Chordata; Aves; Galliformes; Phasianidae. The record is from Ensembl.